This 85-nucleotide transfer RNA is filed under the name Bacillota bacterium. Its description in RNAcentral is "Firmicutes bacterium tRNA-Leu". It matches the Rfam family "tRNA". From Rfam's summary of the family: Transfer RNA (tRNA) molecules are approximately 80 nucleotides in length. Their secondary structure includes four short double-helical elements and three loops (D, anti-codon, and T loops). The record is from RNAcentral. RNAcentral also lists the same sequence under 1 other name. Lineage: Bacteria; Bacillati; Bacillota.
GCCCGGAUGGCGGAAUUGGCAGACGCGUACGGUUGAGGGCCGUAUGGGGCAACCCGUGUGGGUUCAAAUCCCACUCCGGGCACCA